UAGGGAAUCUUCCGCAAUGGGCGAAAGCCUGACGGAGCAACGCCGCGUGAGUGAUGAAGGUCUUCGGAUCGUAAAACUCUGUUAUUAGGGAAGAACAAAUGUGUAAGUAACUAUGCACAUCUUGACGGUACCUAAUCAGAAAGCUCCGGCUAAAUACGUGCCAGCAGCCGCGGUAAUACGUAUGGAGCGAGCGUUGUCCGGAAUUAUUGGGCGUAAAGGGUACGCAGGCGGUUUAAUAAGUCGAAUGUUAAAGAUCGGGGCUCAACCCCGUAAAGCAUUGGAAACUGAUAAACUUGAGUAGUGGAGAGGAAAGUGGAAUUCCUAGUGUAGUGGUGAAAUACGUAGAUAUUAGGAGGAAUACCAGUAGCGAAGGCGACUUUCUGGACACAAACUGACGCUGAGGUACGAAAGCGUGGGGAGCAAACAGG
This 428-nucleotide ribosomal RNA is filed under the name Bacteroidota bacterium. RNAcentral's name for it is "Bacteroidetes bacterium partial 16S ribosomal RNA". It matches the Rfam family "Bacterial small subunit ribosomal RNA", at positions 355 to 776 of the family's 1533-position model. The record is from RNAcentral. Lineage: Bacteria; Pseudomonadati; Bacteroidota.